GACGAACGCUGGCGGCGUGCUUAACACAUGCAAGUCGAACGGAAAGGCCCUGCUUUUGUGGGGUGCUCGAGUGGCGAACGGUGAGUAACACGUGAGUAACCUGCCCUUGACUUUGGGAUAACUUCAGGAAACUGGGGCUAAUACCGGAUAGGAGCUCCUGCUGCAUGGUGGGGUUGGAAAGUUUCGGCGGUUGGGGAUGGACUCGCGGCUUAUCAGCUUGUUGGUGGGGUAGUGGCUUACCAAGGCUUUGACGGGUAGCCGGCCUGAGAGGGUGACCGGCCACAUUGGGACUGAGAUACGGCCCAGACUCCUACGGGAGGCAGCAGUGGGGAAUAUUGCACAAUGGGCGGAAGCCUGAUGCAGCAACGCCGCGUGCGGGAUGACGGCCUUCGGUGUAACGACUUCGUCCUCGUGACGAAGCGUGAGUG
This 428-nucleotide ribosomal RNA is filed under the name uncultured bacterium. RNAcentral's name for it is "bacterial SSU rRNA". It matches the Rfam family "Bacterial small subunit ribosomal RNA", at positions 28 to 458 of the family's 1533-position model. The record is from RNAcentral.